This 736-nucleotide ribosomal RNA is filed under the name Carnobacterium maltaromaticum. RNAcentral's name for it is "bacterial SSU rRNA". It matches the Rfam family "Bacterial small subunit ribosomal RNA", at positions 60 to 774 of the family's 1533-position model. The record is from RNAcentral. Lineage: Bacteria; Bacillati; Bacillota; Bacilli; Lactobacillales; Carnobacteriaceae.
AGUCGACGCACGAAGUUGAAGAGCUUGCUCUUUAACUAAGUGAGUGGCGGACGGGUGAGUAACACGUGGGUAACCUGCCCAUUAGAGGGGGAUAACAUUCGGAAACGGAUGCUAAUACCGCAUAGUUUCAGGAAUCGCAUGAUUCUUGAAGGAAAGGUGGCUUCGGCUACCACUAAUGGAUGGACCCGCGGCGUAUUAGCUAGUUGGUGAGGUAAUGGCUCACCAAGGCAAUGAUACGUAGCCGACCUGAGAGGGUGAUCGGCCACACUGGGACUGAGACACGGCCCAGACUCCUACGGGAGGCAGCAGUAGGGAAUCUUCCGCAAUGGACGAAAGUCUGACGGAGCAACGCCGCGUGAGUGAAGAAGGUUUUCGGAUCGUAAAACUCUGUUGUUAAAGAAGAACAAGGAUGAGAGUAACUGCUCAUCCCCUGACGGUAUUUAACCAGAAAGCCACGGCUAACUACGUGCCAGCAGCCGCGGUAAUACGUAGGUGGCAAGCGUUGUCCGGAUUUAUUGGGCGUAAAGCGAGCGCAGGCGGUUCUUUAAGUCUGAUGUGAAAGCCCCCGGCUCAACCGGGGAGGGUCAUUGGAAACUGGAGAACUUGAGUGCAGAAGAGGAGAGUGGAAUUCCACGUGUAGCGGUGAAAUGCGUAGAUAUGUGGAGGAACACCAGUGGCGAAGGCGACUCUCUGGUCUGUAACUGACGCUGAGGCUCGAAAGCGUGGGGAGCAAACA